GGGCGUGUAGCUCAGUGGUAGAGCGUUCGCUUUGCAUACUAUCUUUUUCAUUGUAUGCGAAAGGCCCAGGGUUCGAUCCCCUGCUCGUCCA
This 91-nucleotide transfer RNA is filed under the name Cercophora newfieldiana. It matches the Rfam family "tRNA". From Rfam's summary of the family: Transfer RNA (tRNA) molecules are approximately 80 nucleotides in length. Lineage: Eukaryota; Fungi; Ascomycota; Sordariomycetes; Sordariales; Lasiosphaeriaceae. The record is from Rfam by way of RNAcentral.